UGGAGAUGGGCACCCCGUGUGGCUUGUGGCCCUAACUCAGAGAAGGUGGAGCAGGGCAAAGCAAGCCCAACUGAAGGCCUAGAACACACUGGUGGGAGGGAGGGGUUCUGGGCUAAGCUACAGGAAUGAUGGGGAGAAGGGAGUCUUGGGGGAAAGACUGUAUGCCGAGAAGAUGGGACAUGUGUGAUGUAGGGAUGGUGAAAGGCAGCCCCAAGCCUUUAAAACUUCUGACUGGGAGUUUUCCAGGGAGGAGGAGGAGUGUGUGGUCAUUUCCCACAUGACAGGAAGUCAGGACCGCAGCCAGCUGCUGCGUCUGCAGGGUGGAGAGCAGACAGGAGGAGGCCAGGAGCCCUGGGCUCUGGGCUGCCGGAGGAGCUGCAAGUAAAGCCUCCACAUUGAAAAAAAAGAAAAGAUGGAGACACAGGCGACAGCCAGGUGACCAGAGGCAGAGUGAAGUGAUGGUGAUACGCGGUGGGGAAGGUCCCCUGACAUCCCUAAGGGACCACCACACCUGCUCAGUUGACAACCCGACCACAAACUUCCAGCCUCUGGAACUGCAGAACAGGAAAUUAAAUAGAAGAAGCAGGUGCUGACACCCUGUAAAUUUAGACUAUGGAGUUUCCCCAUGGUCCCACAGCACACCGCAGAAGCAGCAGGGGCUUCUGUGAAGGACGCCUAAGGACCCCUGCUGUCCAGACAAGAGUCACCUGCCCCCCUGGACGACAACCCUGAGGACUGAAGACCUGCACUGGACAAGUGCUUUACCUGUUUUGUCCUGUCAGCAGCCCAUGAGGGAGGUCCUUUUAUCAUUUUCAUAUAACAGGAAACUGAGGUGUAGACAAGUACUCAAGAUUGAACAUGGGACCUUUGUACUGAGCUACAUCCCUAGCCCUUUUUUAUUUUUUCAUUUUUGAGACAGGGUCUCCUGCGUCAGCCUCCCAGAGUGUUGGGAUUACAGGUAUGGGCCACCCCACUCAGCUUCACUUUACAGAUGAGGCUAAAGACAGGGACACAGGCAGGUGCUCAAGGACAGGACAGGACAGAAGCCAGUUCUUCACUGCUUUGCUGUGCAGUCUGGAGGAAAGAUCUUCUCAGUGUGUUCUCUGUCACCUGAAUCAGAAACGAAUGCUGGGCCCAGGAGAAACCGCUGCUUCUCCUGGGGACCAGACACUGCCCCAGGAUCUGGAUGGCUCCUGGAUGGUCCGUGUCUCCUCUGUGUUCACACAAGCAUUGCUCACAAAGCACGGUGGUGUUGGAUCAUUUGCAGAUGGAGGCUGGGGCUUUGCUCAGCCUGGUUCCACCAAGGAACUGUGGCGGGUAGAGCGUCUGCCCUGGCCGAGAGCUCUUCAGGGGACAAAGCUCCGAUGCAGCCAGUGCUGCAUUGCACCCAGGCUGGCCCGCCCCUUCCCACCCAGCCAACUGUGCUCUGUGGACACAGGACCUUGCCAAGGGCUGCAGACUCGGCUCUCCCCUCCCCACUCCCCUUCUGUGGGGACUGGGACUUCCCUCUCCUGCCCCAAGAUGUGUGGGGGGACCUGUUAGAAAGGUGCUGCAUCAGAACCUGCAGGUAUAGCAAGUCCCCAGGGGAGUCGGACACCCUCUGCAGUUGGAGAAGUGUUGGCCCAGACAAUGUGGCCUCAUAGGGGCCCUUCCCCCUGAGCUCUGGGGCAACUCCCACAGUGCUCCUUCUCCUUUCCACCUGAGCAGCAGGUGUCAGAGCAAAUGUGGGUGCCUGCAGCCUCAUCGACUGCUCCUUGCCCUGCUGGGCCGGGCCUGGAGAGUGGGGGUGUGACAGGGCAAGCAGAAGGCGAGCAGCUCUGUGACAGAUGGUGGCAGGCUGCUGUCUUUCUAACUGCACGGGACUGUGCUUCAGGUAUAUCUGAUGGCUAAAACGGCUUCUAAAAUGGCCUGAAAUAUAGGUCUUUUUUAUAACUCACUAUGGAAAAGGUAUUCUGGGUCCAAAUUAACUAUAAGUAAACUUUUGAUUCCCAAUCUGCCUGUAGGUGGGGAGUUCCUAUACUUAAAAAUUUAAUAUGUGCAUGGUUCCCUUAUCCUCCUACAGUGACUGUUCUAGAAGGGGGCUAACAGUUUCCUCUGGUUACUACAGUGGCAGUAUAUAGCUGAGGACACACCAGAAAAAAAACCAUGCUUAGGCUUUCUAGUGCCCAAACUUCUAACACAAAGGGUACUACAGGUAGGGCAAGAGGGAAUCAUUCAUAUAUUUUCCCAGUUGCCUGGUGUGACCAUUAAUCCUGAUUUGACAACUUUACAAGAUAAAGAAAUCCCCAGCAGAUUAGUGGAGCAUGAUCCUGGGUAUGCCAGGCUGGGUCAUGGGGACAUGGCCUUGGGUACUAUAUCUGAUCCUAGACCCUACAGUGAUUUCUUUGGCUAAAUGCAUUUUUGAGGUGGCAUUUUAAGCCAUUUUAGAGGGCAUCUUAAGAUAUCUUUAUAAUCUGUGUGGGGCUAUGGAUUUGGAGAAAAGAACAGUAUUUAUUAAGAGGAAGAAAUGAAUGAUCAUAUUCAGCUAUACCAAUACUUCCCAGUCUCUUAACUUUCUGGGUCAAAGCAUCAUUUACUAGUAAUGUAACUGUUUACUUAUGUGGAGCUGCGGCUCCUGAGGCUGCCACACAAUCUGCUCUAGGGAAGAAUUCAGGAUCAGGCAGGGAGAGUUUAAUUUCUCUUGAGGAGAAAAAGCGUAGGACCCUGAAGGCAGUGUAUUUAGGGCUACCUGACAAAGCCACCAGUGGAAGAAUCUAUUGUAGAAAACCCAACUGUUGCAUAUGUUUGUUCACAUGCUAUUUCUACAGACCUGAAGAUUCUCUCCCUGUGACUUUUAGCUGAUGAAAGGCCCAAAAUGACAAAGGCAGGGUGCGACUUGUUUCCCAGAGUCAGAUCUACCCGCUGCUGUGAAUUAGAACAUACAUCUUUUGGUCAUUCUAAUUAUGUCGCAAAACUGGGAGUGAAAACGUUAAGUGAAGGAAGUGUGAGAAGGCUUUCCUUCAUUUUCCACUUAUUUCUUUUAAAUGGGAUAAAAAAAUGAGUUUAAUCAGAAAACACCCACAUUCUUUUCUGAUGAUGCAGUUAUUACUUCCAAGAGUCAGGACUACUUAUUUGGGAUAAACAGACCAGACAAGAAACCACACAGAAUCCAGAGAGACUCCCUGACCUGGGAAUAAACAGCUAUCUCUAAUAAGUCUACUUUAAAAAUAAAACUAUUUCUGCUGAGCAAACACAAUGUGGGAUUAUAUUAACAAGUCUGUAUACAUUUCACAUCAAAUUCUCUACCAAUAAAAUACUAGUGCCCAGGGAUUGUAACCCCCACAUAGGACUCUACAGCACUAAAGGAAAAAAAACCCAGAGAGCCCCGGGGAUCUGACAUCUGGCCACACGCCCAGGUCACUGGGCCCUGUGUUGACUUUAUCUGUGUGCCUUCUGUAGGGGCCUCCUGCUUAAGAUAACGAAGGAGUUGGGCUGGGGAUUUAGCUCAGUGGUUUCGCCGCCUGCUGUGCAAGAGCAAGGACCGGAGUUCGAGCCCCAGUACCAAAAAAACAAGAACAAAAAUGAAGGAGCCACUAAAUUGUGCCUACUUGUCAUUGGGCAUUAAUGGAUUUUUUUGAAAAGGCCAAAAACCAUGGGCCCUUUCUGACCCUA
Heterocephalus glaber (naked mole-rat) is the source of this 3651-nucleotide non-coding RNA. Lineage: Eukaryota; Metazoa; Chordata; Mammalia; Rodentia; Bathyergidae. The record is from RefSeq and is a predicted model, not a curated record.